UUUGUGGGAAUUCUUCGUCAAAAAUCUCUAUUGUAUGAUCCUAGCCAUUAGGAGGCUGAGACAGAAUGAUUGAUAAUUCCAGGUUAAUCUGCCUUACAAAGUGAAAGGCUGCUGGGCAAAACAAAGCAACCCUUCCCAAAGAAACAAAAUCUGUUUUUGAAUAGCUCUUAUCAGUACACUCUUUGUUUUGAGACAAAAUUUCACUCUGUAGUCCAGGCUGGUCUGGAACUCACUCUAGUCCAGGAUGGCCUUGAAUUUAUAGCAAGCUCCCUGCUUCAGUCUCUAGUGCUGGAAUUAUGUGUUUUGAGUCACCAUGCCAUGCCUAGCUUUGAAUAUGUUUUUCCUUCUUUCAAUAAAGACUGAGACAGACACAGAUACUUGUACCUAACCAUUGGACUGAAGUUGGGGACUCCUAUGGUUGAAUUAGGGGAAGGAUUUAAAAAUCUGAAGGGGAAGGUGACCCCAGAGGAAGACCAGCAGACUCAACAAACCCAGACCCCUGGGAGCUCCCAGAGACUGAGCCACCAACCAGGCAGCAUACAUGGGCUGAUCUGAGGCCCCUGGCACAUAUAUACCACACUGCCUGGUUUGGCCUCAGUGUGAGAAGAUGGACCUAAUCCUCAAGAGACUUGAGGCCCCAGGGAAGGGGGAUGCCUGUUGGGUGGGGAUCAUCCUCUAGGAGGUAAAGGGGAGGAGAAAUGGGAUGAGGAACUGUGGGAGGAGGAACCAGGAGAGGGAGUCAACAGCUGGAAUGUAAAGAAAUAAAAU
This 768-nucleotide long non-coding RNA is filed under the name Mus musculus (house mouse). RNAcentral describes it as "long non-coding RNA chr3:90313845-90314613". Lineage: Eukaryota; Metazoa; Chordata; Mammalia; Rodentia; Muridae. The record is from RNAcentral.